Molecule: long non-coding RNA, 428 nt
Organism: Triticum dicoccoides
Lineage: Eukaryota; Viridiplantae; Streptophyta; Magnoliopsida; Poales; Poaceae
Exons: 4
Source: RefSeq, a predicted model, not a curated record
UCAAAGCAAUUUCCGUUCAAGAUUUCCUGACCGCCAGACUAUUAUCCAAGCAUUUUUUGGCACGAGGUUGAAUCUUAAAUGGUGGGUGGUUGAUAACUUGUCCAGGUUGAGAUCGGCCACUGAUGACACGAGUCUGCUACCCUGCUCCUGUGAAGGUUUCUUUUUCUGAAAUUAAAUCAAGUCUCAAGGAAUGAGAUGGAAGCAUUGUUCAGGCUUUAUGAGAAGGUGAACCGCUCUAUCAAUGACGAUGAACUCAUCCAAUUGCACUGUAUUGGGAACAGUUUUACCAUCCGAGGAUACAUCCAAAGUACAGGUGAAUUAGACAUUUCCCUGUGCGAGAUCAAAUGACUUGAGCUUUACAUUGGUUCAACUGUCCCUGCCAUCAAAUAUUAUGUUUGCAAGAUGAACAAGACCUUUGUCACUCCUGG